Long non-coding RNA from Ictalurus punctatus (channel catfish), 1758 nucleotides. The record is from Ensembl. Lineage: Eukaryota; Metazoa; Chordata; Actinopteri; Siluriformes; Ictaluridae.
AACUAGUCUGUGAUAACGUGGACUAUUUUACAUGUAAAACAUGUUGCAUUACGUUCGUCUUGCGUUGUAAAAACAUUCGCAUAUGAAUGCUGUAAAUUGGGAUGAAGGCCGCGGAGAGUUGCUACGGCUUGAACAAAAAGUCGAUAGAUUUGUCGCUAGGUGUUUUUUUUUUUUUUUUUGCCAAAAAAGUCGCUAAAGGGGUCUGAAAAGUGGCUGAGUUGGGAACACUGUUCUGCACUGACAGCUAGAUCAACGGCAGGAUAAGCUCCACCUCUCUCCAAGCAAAAAAGAAAAUACACAGGGAGAGGGAAUGCGGGGUUUUUCAAUUAAUACACAUUCUAUAUGAAAAGCAAUAAAAUACCCUGAGCACUCAAAUGAUGCCGUCUGUGUUUUUUUCUUGAAAACAAUUAGUGGCCCCCUUCCGAUCUCUCCCUGUGUGGAGAAACGCUUGUUUAAAUGAUGCGUGAGGACUGCAGAUGUGUCCAGAGCGAUAAACUGUAACGUCUGUAAUGUAAGACGCCUGAGACGGUGCUACAGGGAGACAGGAAGGACAGCUGAUCGUCCUCGCAGUGGAACAUUACAUGUAAGCGUGUGUGUCCCCCAGAUGUGAUCAAGAACUUGCAAAUGUGUUGGUGGAAGAGCAGGGGAACAUGUCACAACGAGAACUGACCAAUCUGGUGCAGUCCAUGAGGAUGAGAUGCACUGGAGCAUCUUACUUAAAGCAGCUCGAGAACACCGGAUACUGACCGUUCCUUCUGAUAUUCCUUUGGAAGCGUGGUUUCUGUAUCUGUCCUGUUGAAGGAGGCGUGGUUUCUGUAUCUGUCCUGUUGAAGGAGGCGUGGUUUCUGUAUCUGUCCUGUUGAAGGAGGCGUGGUUUCUGUAUCUGUCCUGUUGAAGGAGGCGUGGCUUCUGUAUCUGUCCUGUUGAAGGAGGUGUGGUUUCUGUAUCUGUCCUGUUGAAGGAGGUGUGGUUUCUGUAUCUGUCCUGUUGAAGGAGGUGUGGCUUCUGUAUCUGUCCUGUUGAAGGAGGUGUGGCCUCUGUGCUUGUCCUGUUGAAGGAGGCGUGGCCUCUCUUCUUGUCCUGUUCAGCAACAGACAGCCCAAAAGACAAUCAGUAUUUUUAUGACAGAUCCGUGCUGAUGUUGUUCUGCUUCAGAAGGUUUGUUUUUAUUUCCUUUGCUGAUCGAGCAUUCUUCUUCAUGUGUCUUUGCCUGUGGGGCAUUUUAGUCUAAAGAAUUUCUUGUUGAGUGGAAUGAAUAGACGCUGAACGCAGCGAUGAAGCAGAAAUAGGAAGGCCCUUUCCUUCCGUGACUGUCUGCAUGUCUGUAAGUUGUUGUGCGUUUUGUUCCCGUGAUGAUGCCCCGCAGCAUGCACGUUUGAGGUUUAAAGGGAUUUUACUAGCCGCGUUUGCAUCGUAUGUCAUGAAACACACGUUCUCUCAGAUCGCUGAAUGAAAUGUGCGAUAUGCAUGAAUAGUGUGUGUUUGUGUGUGUCGAGCACUUAUGCAGACACGACGCGUCACGAGGCCUGCUUUGUGAGACGUCUUAAAUGCACAUACACGUGUGUGUGUGUCUGUGUGUGGGUGUGUGUGCUUGUGUUUCUGCGUGUUAAUGAGUGGAAGAUGGAGGAAGGAGAGGGGGAUGGCGGAAUGGGAUGGAUACAGCUGGAGUGAGAGAGAGAAAGGGAGAGUUUGGUGAAAAGGUAACCAUGGUAACUCUCUUUGCUAAGGCCUGAAUUGACAGAGAGGAGAGCAGGAGAA